UUCCAAUAUAUGUAUUUUUUACGAUUCUUUAUUUCCCCCUUUUUUUUCCACUGGGGAGCAGCAAGGGGCCAAGGAGAGUGACAACCUGGACGGGCAGGGGAUGCUAAUGCCACACUGUCCUCUGAGCCCACUGCUGGAGCCCUGAGUGGGGAGCAUGGGGCAGAGGAGCCAGGAGACACAGCAGCUCUGCAGCCCCCUCCCUGUGAUCAAAGCCCCCGCUCUGUCCUGGAGUGUUUGGGGAAACCCGGGUGCCCCCGGUGUGGGCAUUUGGGAAGGCUCUGAGGACGCCCAGCUCCCUGGGGAACAGGGCCCUGGACCGAGACUCUGUGCUACUACCUCCACAUCCCUGGGUGUCCACAGAGCAGGGGACAUGCUGGGGGAGGCGGCCCAACUUGCGAAGCACCGCGGGGGGCUGCCUGGGGUAUCCGGCAACUAAGCCCAGUUGGUGACUUCCAGGGGAGUGGGGUGUGGAUGGUCCAGCUCUGCAAAGACAAGACUCACCCCUUAGCCCCCAGAGUUGGAAAGACACAGAAGCAGGUGCAUGGAGCAGAGCCAGGCGUGCGUAAGGUGCAAAGCAGGCCCCAUGGCAGUGGCCACAGCCACACUGACCUGGGCUGGGUGGGAAUGGGACAGGAGGGGCUGAAGCAGAUGGCACAGCCCUCGGAGUCCUGUCCAAAUGGAGGUGAGGACGAGGCGGAUGUCUGGCCACCCAUAGGCCUCGGGAAGCAGGGUCACAGGUUCUGCUGACCAGCGUCCUUCGUGGAGGACUAAGACUGGGGAGGGACGCUCCCAGGGCACGAGGGGGGCUCCUGAGAAACUCACAGUCGCGGGAGAAAACAUCAGAGCACUGGGACUGAAGAGACGGGGAGCAUCCACUUGUCUUGCUCGGGAGGUGGGGACACAGCCGACAGCUAUCCCUGAGGCAUCUCUGAGCACUGUUGGAGGGUCCAGGAAGCGCCCCCCCGACCCUGCACCCCCGAUCAAGACUUUGCCAUGUUGCCCACAGCCAGGGGAGUGGGGCCGCCAGGGAGGGCAGGCACAGGCAGUCCCCAAGGCCAUGAGGAUGAGGGCCAUGGCCGAGCUUCCAGCAGCUGCCCUGGUUCACCUGGUUCACUUGUGUCCAACAGGAACCCCCAGAGACUCUGCCUAGGAAGCUGGAGUGAGCCCGGCCUUCCCCUGUGGAUGAGAGGGUGGGCAGCUGCUGACCCCCAGCCCCGCCCCGGCUGCCUGUGCGCACAGGGCCUGCCCUGACUUUCCAGACUCUCUGACCAGUGGAGCCUGGUCCUUGAUGGCCAGAGCUGAGCAGGGCGGGGGGAAUGUUCCAGAAUGACAACAGGUGAGAAGCAUGCAGGAAGCCGAAGUCUCUCAGACCCCCCAGGCCGGCCUGGCUGGCAGAACUGGUUCCCAGCCCUUUACUCCCCCACCCCCCGCCCCCACAAGGACCUGAGCCCCAAUCCAGGGCCUGGUGUGGCAACAGCCCGAGGGCUGGACCCUGACCCGCCGUCCCACCGUCCUCGGACCAAAAAAGCGCAGGAGCCAGUGACCAGGCCAGGGAGCCUCUCUCUUUUUCUGUUUCCUUUUAAUGACCUCAUUUCAAAGAAGAGCCGUCUCCUGACAAGGGACGUUUCCCA
This 1631-nucleotide long non-coding RNA is filed under the name Homo sapiens (human). RNAcentral's name for it is "HSALNT0254475". Lineage: Eukaryota; Metazoa; Chordata; Mammalia; Primates; Hominidae. The record is from RNAcentral.